UUCAUGAACAACCCCGACCGCGGCCGCCCCGCCGGCCCCGCCGGCCGGCUUGCAUGCGAGUGAGAUUCUUAGCUUCCAAAAGAAUCACCAUCAAAGACAGAUUAUGACGUUUCUUGGACCUACUGGCGUCUUACCCACAUCCCGUCUUCCAGCCUUGGUUAUCCGCGGUCGCUGAAAUGCGUGUUGGUGCUUCCAGAAGCACCUUUUGCUAUAAAGGACACAGAACCAGGUUUCUCUCCCAGCGUCUCCUAACAGGCUCUGUGGGGCUGCUCCAGGUAGUUGGAUUCUCCUUGUUCAUAUCGGCCACUGUUGCCUUCUUCCAGCUACACCUACAUGACAACAGCAACAACGUGCGUUGGAAGUGUCUUGUUCCUGAAGCAGCUUGUUUUACCCUUCACCUCUUUGCUUCUGGUGCUUUUUUUAAAUAAUAAUAAAAAAAAAAAAAGCUGAAGACCUCACUCUUUCCUUGCCGUGGAGCAAUUUUAUACGAUGUCUGUGACGGUGGUAUCUGGAAACUUGCCACAAAAGACAACCCGUUACCAGAAAGCCAAAUGACUCAAGGUGCUAUUUUCCUCCCGUGGUGGGACAGGCGAUCCCUGCAGGGUGGAGAGCGUUCUUGCAGGUCCGGUGGUCCUUAAUGAAAAGCGUGGUUCCACCCAGCAAAGGAAAAGAAAAGUAUAUUGUACAAUAAACCCCAGUAAAGCAAACAAUCUUGAUUUAAGCCACUUGGUGCCAGGAUUUGGUGGGGCGCGGUGGGAGCCUUGAUCCUGGCCCCUGUGGUAGCCGGUUCUUUAUUCAUUCCCUGAUUUAAGUCGCAUCCUGGGUUUAUGGCGUUCGAUUCCUUUCUCUGCUCCUCGGUUCCUUGCAAAAGUUCACUGCCGCCACCUCUCUGCGUGCAUCGUCCCGGUUCACGCUGACGAUCGCCUUCCCUGGGAGCCUCCAGCAGCUCCCAGGCUCCUGGUCUAUCGCUUCUAGCGCACGUCAGUGAUUUGGAAACAUGAGUCUUUCCUAAAAUCCCGUGUUAGGCGAGGAUUAGACGUGUUAGACGCGAGCACCGUCUCUGCUGCUGAUCCGUAGGAUGGAAAAGUCAAGUGGGGCUUGUUGCUUUUAGCCGGUGAGAACGGAUAACCCUCCUCUUUACGUACGUAAAGAACAGAGCGGUAGGGUCACGCAGAAACAUUUUUAUUUGAACUGUAAAAAUCUAAUUUUGCGUUUUAGCUUCUUGUAAAGCCCUCCUACCGUAUUUAAAGAGACGUGAACAAACCCAGUAUUUUACGAUUGGACCUUUGUAUAGUUUUUGUCCAUUGCGGGGGGGUCCCAGAGCGAGGUCGCUGUUUCGUUACCCUGGCUUUUGCCUCUCGGAGUGCGGGCUCUGUAUUUAUUGUCAU
This is a long non-coding RNA of Gymnogyps californianus (California condor), 1388 nucleotides long. RefSeq lists it as uncharacterized. NCBI's taxonomy places the organism in Eukaryota, Metazoa, Chordata, Aves, Accipitriformes, Cathartidae. The record is from RefSeq and is a predicted model, not a curated record. The transcript has 3 exons.